This 253-nucleotide ribosomal RNA is filed under the name uncultured bacterium. RNAcentral describes it as "partial 16S ribosomal RNA". It matches the Rfam family "Bacterial small subunit ribosomal RNA", at positions 524 to 776 of the family's 1533-position model. The record is from RNAcentral.
UACGUAGGGGGCUAGCGUUGUCCGGAAUCAUUGGGCGUAAAGAGCGUGUAGGCGGCCCGGUAAGUCCGCUGUGAAAGUCGGGGGCUCAACCCUCGAAUGCCGGUGGAUACUGUCGGGCUAGAGUGCGGAAGAGGCGAGUGGAAUUCCUGGUGUAGCGGUGAAAUGCGCAGAUAUCAGGAGGAACACCUAUUGCGAAGGCAGCUCGCUGGGACGUAACUGACGCUGAGGAGCGAAAGCAUGGGGAGCGAACAGG